CCUACGGGAGGCAGCAGUGGGGAAUAUUGCACAAUGGGGGAAACCCUGAUGCAGCGACGCCGCGUGAGUGAAGAAGUAAUUCGUUAUGUACAGCUCUAUCAGCAGGGAAGAAAAUGACGGUACCUGAGUAAGACGCCCCGGCUAACUACGUGCCAGCCGCCGCGGUAAUACGUAGGGGGCAAGCGUUCUCCGGAUUUACUGGGUGGAAAGGGAGCGUAGACGGCAGUGCAAGUCUGGAGUGAAAGGCGGGGGCUCAACCCCCGGACUGCUCUGGAAACUGUAAGGCUGGAGUGCAGGAGAGGGAAGUGGAAUUCCUAGUGUAGCGGUGAAAUGCGUAGAUAUUAGGAGGAACACCAGUGGCGAAGGCGGCUUACUGGACUGUAACUGACGUUGAGGCUCGAAAGCGUGGGGAGCAAACAGGAUUAGAUACCCCAGUAGUC
RNAcentral lists this ribosomal RNA (440 nucleotides) under uncultured bacterium. RNAcentral describes it as "partial 16S ribosomal RNA". It matches the Rfam family "Bacterial small subunit ribosomal RNA", at positions 338 to 795 of the family's 1533-position model. The record is from RNAcentral.